UGGCUCAGUGGUAGAGUGCUUGCCUUGAAUGCAUGAGGCCUUGGGUUCAAUUCCUUA
RNAcentral lists this transfer RNA (57 nucleotides) under Dipodomys ordii (Ord's kangaroo rat). It matches the Rfam family "tRNA", at positions 8 to 63 of the family's 71-position model. Rfam says of the family: Transfer RNA (tRNA) molecules are approximately 80 nucleotides in length. Their secondary structure includes four short double-helical elements and three loops (D, anti-codon, and T loops). The record is from Rfam by way of RNAcentral. Lineage: Eukaryota; Metazoa; Chordata; Mammalia; Rodentia; Heteromyidae.